This 492-nucleotide ribosomal RNA is filed under the name uncultured bacterium. RNAcentral describes it as "partial 16S ribosomal RNA". It matches the Rfam family "Bacterial small subunit ribosomal RNA", at positions 29 to 507 of the family's 1533-position model. The record is from RNAcentral.
AUUGAACGCUGGCGGCAUGCUUUACACAUGCAAGUCGAACGGUAACAGGCCUUCGGGUGCUGACGAGUGGCGAACGGGUGAGUAAUGCAUCGGAACGUACCCAGAGGUGGGGGAUAACGCAGCGAAAGCUGUGCUAAUACCGCAUGUGAUCUGAGGAUGAAAGCGGGGGACCGCGCAGCAAUGUUUGGCCUCGCGCCUUUGGAGCGGCCGAUGUCGGAUUAGCUAGUUGGUGGGGUAAAGGCCUACCAAGGCGACGAUCCGUAGCUGGUCUGAGAGGACGACCAGCCACACUGGGACUGAGACACGGCCCAGACUCCUACGGGAGGCAGCAGUGGGGAAUUUUGGACAAUGGGCGCAAGCCUGAUCCAGCAAUGCCGCGUGCGGGAAGAAGGCCUUCGGGUUGUAAACCGCUUUUGGCAGGAACGAAACGGUGUCCGCUAAUACCGGGCGCUAAUGACGGUACCUGAAGAAUAAGCACCGGCUAACUACGUG